UACGUAGGGGGCAAGCGUUGUCCGGAAUCAUUGGGCGUAAAGAGCGUGUAGGCGGCCCGGUAAGUCCGUUGUGAAAGUCCAGGGCUCAACCCUGGAAAGCCGAUGGAUACUGCCGGGCUAGAGUUCGGAAGAGGCGAGUGGAAUUCCUGGUGUAGCGGUGGAAUGCGCAGAUAUCAGGAGGAACACCGUGUAGAAGGCGGCU
Molecule: ribosomal RNA, 202 nt
Filed under: uncultured bacterium
Lineage: Bacteria
Description: partial 16S ribosomal RNA
Rfam family: Bacterial small subunit ribosomal RNA
Source: RNAcentral